RNAcentral lists this non-coding RNA (29 nucleotides) under Rattus norvegicus (Norway rat). Lineage: Eukaryota; Metazoa; Chordata; Mammalia; Rodentia; Muridae. The record is from RNAcentral.
UCCUGAUUUUGUCUUUGAUCUGUCUAGGA